This 24-nucleotide non-coding RNA is filed under the name Cricetulus griseus (Chinese hamster). The record is from RNAcentral. Lineage: Eukaryota; Metazoa; Chordata; Mammalia; Rodentia; Cricetidae.
UUCCUUGUAGCUCUCUUCGGAAGA